AUGCAGUCGAACGCGAAAGUUCCCUUCGGGGAGCGAGUAGAGUGGCGCACGGCCCUUUUAANACGUAGGUAAUUUGCCUUUGGGUGGGGAAUACCNCCNGGAAACGGUUGUUAAUACCGCAUAAUGCAGCGGCAUCACAUGAUGACAGUUGUUAAAGCGGGGGAUCGCAAGACCUCGCGCCUGAAGAGAAGCCUGCGGCAGAUUAGGUAGUUGGUGAGGUAAUGGCUCACCAAGCCUGCGAUCUGUAACCGGCCUGAGAGGGCGGUCGGUCACACUGACACUGACAUACGGGUCAGACUCCUACGGGAGGCAGCAGUCGGGAAUUUUGGGCAAUGGGCGAAAGCCUGACCCAGCAACGCCGCGUGAAGGAUGAAAUUUUUCGGAAUGUAAACUUCGCAAGAAUGGGAAGAAUAAGUGGGGGACAAUACCCCCCAUGAUGACGGUACCAUUUGUAAGCUCCGGCUAACUUCGUGCCAGCAGCCGCGGUAAUACGAGGGGAGCAAGCGUUGUUUCGGAUUUACUGGGCGUAAAGGGCGCGUAGGCGGCUCUACNAGUCACUUGUGAAAUCUCCGGGCUUAACUCGGAACGGUCAAGUGAUACUGUCGAGCUAGAGUGCANAAGGGGCAAUUGGAAUUCUCGGUGUAGCGGGUGAAAUGCGUANAUAUCGAGAGGAACACCAUAGGCGAAUGCGGAUUGCCUGGGCUGA
RNAcentral lists this ribosomal RNA (706 nucleotides) under uncultured bacterium. RNAcentral's name for it is "bacterial SSU rRNA". It matches the Rfam family "Bacterial small subunit ribosomal RNA", at positions 55 to 743 of the family's 1533-position model. The record is from RNAcentral.